AAUGAGGUGGCCGAGUGGUUAAGGCGACGGAUUGCUAAUCCACUGUGCUCUGCACGCGUGGGUUCGUAUCCCAUCCUCGUCG
Ornithorhynchus anatinus (platypus) is the source of this 82-nucleotide non-coding RNA. The record is from Rfam. Lineage: Eukaryota; Metazoa; Chordata; Mammalia; Monotremata; Ornithorhynchidae.